This 443-nucleotide ribosomal RNA is filed under the name uncultured bacterium. RNAcentral describes it as "partial 16S ribosomal RNA". It matches the Rfam family "Bacterial small subunit ribosomal RNA", at positions 28 to 507 of the family's 1533-position model. The record is from RNAcentral.
GAUGAACGCUGGCGGCAUGCCUAACACAUGCAAGUCGAUCGGUAAGGCUCUUCGGUGUACACGAGAGGCGGACGGCUGAGUAACGCGUAGGAACACACCCUGCAGUGAGGGAUAAGACACCGAAAGGUGUUCUAAUACCGCAUACGGUCUUCGGAUUAAAGCAUUUCUGCGCUGAAGGAGUGGCCUGCGUCAUAUUAGAUAGUUGGUGAGGUAAUGGCUCACCAAGUCGAUGAUGUGUAGCUGGUCUGAGAGGAUGAUCCGCCAGACUGGAACUGAGACACGGUCCAGACUCCUACGGGAGGCAGGAGUGAGGAAUAUUUCACAAUGAGCGAAAGCUUGAUGGAGCAAUGCCGGGUGCAGGAUGAAGGCACUCGGGUUGUAAACUGCUUUUAUAAGAGAAGAUUAUGACGGUAACUUAUGAAUAAGGGACGGCUAACUACGUG